RNAcentral lists this ribosomal RNA (400 nucleotides) under phytoplankton environmental sample. Its description in RNAcentral is "partial small subunit ribosomal RNA". It matches the Rfam family "Eukaryotic small subunit ribosomal RNA", at positions 587 to 987 of the family's 1831-position model. The record is from RNAcentral.
AGCUCCACUAGCGUAUAUUAAUGUUGUUGCAGUUAAAAAGCUCGUAGUUGGAUUCCUGGCGCGGGGCCGCCGGUCCGCCUUGCAAAAGGUGCGCACUGCGCGGCCUCGGCCAUUUUGGACAGAGCGGUCCUGGCAUUCAGUUGUCGGGGCCGGGAUGUCCGACGUUUACUGUGAAAAAAUCAGAGUGUUCAACGCAGGCUUAUGCCUUGAAUACAUUAGCAUGGAAUAAUGAGAUAGGACCUCGGCGGUCUAUUUUGUUGGUUUGCACGCCAAGGUAAUGAUUAACAGGGACGGUUGGGGUUCUUCGUAUUCAAUUGUCAGAGGUGAAAUUCUUGGAUUUAUGGAAGACGAACUGCUGCGAAAGCGUCGAACAAGGACGUUCUCAUUAAUCAAGAACGAA